GAAGACAGCUUACAGCCUGAUCACACCUGAUCUCCUCUGAGCUCAGAAGCUGAUCAGGCUGUAAGCUGUCUUCA
Molecule: ribosomal RNA, 74 nt
Filed under: Amphilophus citrinellus (Midas cichlid)
Lineage: Eukaryota; Metazoa; Chordata; Actinopteri; Cichliformes; Cichlidae
Source: RNAcentral